AGCGAACGCUGGCGGCAUGCUUAACACAUGCAAGUCGCACGGGCGGGGGCAACUCCGUCAGUGGCGGACGGGUGAGUAACGCGUAGGUAUCUAUCCUUGGGUGGGGGAUAACGGUUGGAAACGACUGCUAAUACCGCAUGACAACUGAGGUUUAAAGGCGCGAGUCGCCUGAGGAGGAGCCUGCGUACGAUUAGCUAGUUGGUGGGGUAAAGGCCUACCAAGGCGACGAUCGUUAGCUGGUCUGAGAGGAUGAUCAGCCACAUUGGGACUGAGACACGGCCCAAACUCCUACGGGAGGCAGCAGUGGGGAAUAUUGGACAAUGGGCGAAAGCCUGAUCCAGCAAUGCCGCGUGUGUGAAG
RNAcentral lists this ribosomal RNA (360 nucleotides) under uncultured bacterium. RNAcentral describes it as "bacterial SSU rRNA". It matches the Rfam family "Bacterial small subunit ribosomal RNA", at positions 29 to 410 of the family's 1533-position model. The record is from RNAcentral.